UCUUGCCAUAAUUUGGGUCCUACAAGGUUGCGGGAGAAACCAUCAUCUUUCCGGUGAGAAACCAAAACAAGACGUUUAUUUCAAACACGCGAUUAUCAGGAACUGCGCAGCUGGAGUGGAAAGAGAGUCGUUUCCAUGACUUUUACAGGAUACAAAGGGAGAUGCCAUUAAACAAUGGAAUAGAUGCAAACUCUGAAAUAUUCACUGAAAGCAAAGGAGUCAGGCGUAUUUUAGAGUUACAGAGGGUCCUCCACACAGCUUGUGUCGUCCAUGGUGUAUAUGAAGACUCUUCUCUUGUUUUGACACACGGACUAAGACUUCCUCUGGUCUGGAGCCAGGACUUCCUAUGACACACAAGCAGGGGAUUGAACGUUGUGAUUCAACAUUACCCUCAUCAUGGGUUUUUCAGGGUAUAGUCUGGCUACUGGCUACUUCUAUUUUGGAUACUAUGCUUUCUGAGUAUACUUCCAGUGUUCACAUAUAAACCCACCAGAACUAAACUAAUUUUUAUAAAAGGACUUUAAUAAAUAAAAAUAAUUAACUUAAUAUUUACUUGUCUUGGCAAUGUUUGAAUGCUGAUGUGUCCUAUCAGACUGAUUUAAACAAUUAAGCUGGCUACACUAUCAAACUUUAUAGUCGGUUUUUAACCCUGUUUUAUUAGUAUCUAUGUAAUCCCUGAUUAUGUGAUUAGCCACUUGUAUCACAGCAGAUUGAUUCACACGCAUUUGUUAUUAUAUUAAUAAAAAUUGUAUGUUCCUCCAAAUCCUCUUAUAUGCUGUAUGGCCA
Molecule: long non-coding RNA, 786 nt
Organism: Lepisosteus oculatus (spotted gar)
Lineage: Eukaryota; Metazoa; Chordata; Actinopteri; Semionotiformes; Lepisosteidae
Source: RefSeq, a predicted model, not a curated record